RNAcentral lists this ribosomal RNA (351 nucleotides) under uncultured fungus. Its description in RNAcentral is "bacterial SSU rRNA". The stretch from base 1 to 301 matches the Rfam family "Eukaryotic small subunit ribosomal RNA", at positions 298 to 597 of the family's 1831-position model. Lineage: Eukaryota; Fungi. The record is from RNAcentral.
CAAAUAUCUUGGCCCUAUCAACUUUCGAUGGUAGGAUAGUGGCCUACCAUGGUUUUUACGGGUAACGGGGAAUAAGGGUUCGAUUCCUGGAGAGGGAGCCUGAGAAACGGUACCGAUCCAAGGAAGGCAGCAGGGCGCAAAUUACCCAAUCCCAAUUCGGGGAGGUAGUGACAAUAAAUAACAAUAUAGGGCUCUUUUUGGGUCUUAUAAUUGGAAUGAGUACAAUUUAAAUCACUUAACGAGGAACAAUUGGAGGGCAAGUCCUGGUGCCAGCAGCCGCGGUAAUUCCAGCUCCCAAUAGGCGGUCAUUAUUUUACACAGGUUGGUUGCCAGGUUUAAAAAAAAGGCUUC